Molecule: ribosomal RNA, 301 nt
Filed under: uncultured bacterium
Lineage: Bacteria
Description: partial 16S ribosomal RNA
Rfam family: Bacterial small subunit ribosomal RNA
Source: RNAcentral
CAGCCGCCACGGUAAUACGGAGGGUGCAAGCGUUAUCCGGAAUCAUUGGGUUUAAAGGGUCCGUAGGCGGUCUUGUAAGUCAGUGGUGAAAGCCCAUCGCUCAACGGUGGAACGGCCAUUGAUACUGCAGGACUUGAAUUAUUGGGAAGUAACUAGAAUAUGUAGUGUAGCGGUGAAAUGCUUAGAGAUUACAUGGAAUACCAAUUGCGAAGGCAGGUUACUACCAAUUGAUUGACGCUGAUGGACGAAAGCGUGGGUAGCGAACAGGAUUAGAUACCCGUGUAGUCCCUGUCUCUUAUAC